RNAcentral lists this ribosomal RNA (317 nucleotides) under uncultured microorganism. RNAcentral's name for it is "bacterial SSU rRNA". It matches the Rfam family "Bacterial small subunit ribosomal RNA", at positions 9 to 325 of the family's 1533-position model. The record is from RNAcentral.
GAGUUUGAUCGUGGCUCAGGAUGAACGUUAGCGGCGUGCCUAACACAUGCAAGUCGAACGAACAGCCAGAAUCUUAGGAAUCUGGCGGGUUAGUGGCGCACGGGUGAGUAACACGUAGGUGACCUGCCCCGAAGUGGGGGACAACCACUGGAAACAGUGGCUAAUACCGCAUGUGCUUAGCCAUUCGGUUGGUUAAGUAAAGCUGAGGCGCUUCGGGAGGGCCUGCGGUCGAUUAGCUAGUUGGUGAGGUAAUGGCUCACCAAGGCGAUGAUCGAUAGGGGCGUGAGAGCGUGACCCCCACCACUGGGACGUGAGAC